Molecule: long non-coding RNA, 6713 nt
Filed under: Podarcis lilfordi (Lilford's wall lizard)
Lineage: Eukaryota; Metazoa; Chordata; Lepidosauria; Squamata; Lacertidae
Source: RNAcentral
AGCAGAGUCGCGAGGAGCAAGAAAUGCCGGUAAGAAACCCCCGGAUCUUAUUGAACUGUCUGUAGGAGUUGGAAGGGAGUCCAGAGGGUCAUCGAGGGCAACCCCUUUGUUCUCCUCCUGGCACCACCACACCAGACAACUGGGCUCUGAAGCCUGGAAAAUUCGGGGCAGGUAAAAGAACAUCAUGUAGCAGAGUUGAACUAUGGAACUCCCUGUCACUUGAGGCAGUGAUGGCCACGGACUUGGAUGGCUUUAAAAGAGGAUGGGGCUCCUAGCUAGGAGCUUUCGGUAGCUCCUAGCCAGGAUGGCCUGAUCCAGCAGGUGAUCUUCUUUUUUUCUUCUUCUUUUUAUCACCAAACAGCAUUUUAUUUCAUUUGUGAUUCAGAUUGGUGUUUUUCCCUUCAAGGGUAAAAAGUGCAGAAACCUCUUCUCUGAACUGUGCAAAGAUUUUACUCUAUUACAAGCUAGUUUACCAUACCCAGUUACUAAUUUUUAUGACAGCUUUAUCCCCCAAUCUUAAAAGUGCAUUAAUAAAAGAGAAAAGCCAGUGAAAGCAAAAUCCACAUCUGUACUUUGCUGUUCAUUAUUACAUUUUUGGGAUUUAAAGCAAUUCCCUUUAAAAGUCUUUGGGUUGCUAAUACAAAUCCUUCCCCCUUCUAUACUGUGACAGACUCUGGAAACACACUAUUCACUUCCAUUUGCCACAAACUUUUGAUGGUUUUCCUUGUGCAGAUUGAAAUAUUGAUUUUAAGAAUCUGCACAUAAAACCAUCUUUGUUGAUCAUGUUCAAGCUUACUAGAAGCACAGACUGGAUGGUUGCUAUUAUAAAAGCCACUCCCUUGGUCAUAGAAGAAUUUCCCCUUGACAUCUGGGCAGGGUUCUGUGUCAGUUCCUCUAAGAGAUAUUUUGUCCUCUGAAGCUAUCGAUUCUACAAACUUAAACCAGUUUCAGAGCAGCCUAACCAUCUGCUAAGCUGCCCCAAAUAAACUUUUGGGAACUUGUGAAAAGUGUGGCAGAGGCUGCUUUUCAGCUGGACCGGCUGGUUCAUUUGAUUCGACUUUAUUUAAAUAUUUAAUUUAUAUAUUGCUCAAAGCCACUGCUUUUUGCAGUAUGGUAGCGCUGCAGAGAGCUUGCUGGGGAGACCAUGCAUUAAAAAGGGACUCAAAAAUAAUUUAAACAAGGUUUUAAUAAGAAAAACAAAAACUCCUUUUACACUAAAUACAUUAACAAACAAACAUGACCCAACCACCAACCCAUCCCCCAGGGUAAUGGGAGAGCUAGGUGCUGCUCCUUAUAUACUACACCCAAUUACCAACACAGCUUAAUCAAUACAACUCAGCAGCACCUGCUAUGUUUCACAGCUGUAAAGCUGGGUCUCGUUAUUUUGCUCUGGCCCUUUCUCUGGCCCCUUAAAGACAUACACAUCGAGUGGAACAAUGAUGAACCUUUACAUAUUAAACCAUUCAACAUUUCCCCUGCGGUUCAUCAUUGUGGAACAAAAACAUAAAGCAUACUUUGUACAUGUUUUUCAUGUAUACCUUUUGGAAGUGCUUUAGUAAAAAUGUCUGCAAUUUGAUUGUCACCUGGAACAUAUUUAAAUACAACCAUUUCAUCAGCAAUUGGUUUCUUUACAAACUGUAAACGUAAUCUUAAGACUUUAGUGCGCUGCGUAUUGGUUUCUGAACAUAGGAUAGCGAGUCCACUCUGGGAAUCAAGGUAAACUUUUACUGGUAGUGUUACUUGCAUCUGUAGGUCUGCGAAUACUUGCAGAUACCAUUCCACAUCACGAGUGGCCUGAACACAUGCACAUAAUUCACUCUCUGUUGUGGAGAGACAAAUAAUGGUUUGUGUCUGGGACUUCCAUUCAAAUGGACAACCAUUAUAACAAAACACCAUACCAGACACACCCCUGCAAUUAUUUUGUUCCACUGCAUGAGAUGCAUCACAGAAAAUUUCAAAACCUUUGUCAAUACAUGUUGUAAACUGCAACCUAUAAUGUUUGGUAUGUUUAAGGUACAUUACCACUCUCUUAAGAGCAGAGAAACAUUGUGUAGUGGGCUUUUCCACAAAUUUUGCCAGAAAGUGAAAGGCAUAAGUUAUAUCUGGUCUUGAGAUUCUUUGAAUGAAAUUUAGCUUGCCUAUAGCAGAACGAUACAAAGUUUUGUUAGGAAAUGGCUUAUCUUCACCUGUAAAAGUGAAACCACACACCAUGGGCGUUUCCUUCCCAUUUGCAUUUUCUAAACAUAGCAUUUCAACAAGAUCGUCAAUUUUUGCAGUUUGAUGAACCAGAAAAGAUCCAUUUUUGCCUUUCUCAAUUUGCAUGGAUAAGUAAUUUUUAGCUAUGCCUAAUUCCACCACAUCAAAUUUCUUCUGUAACUGUGUUACUACCUGUUCAUAUUCCUGUUUAGUUUUUGUAGAAAUUAACACGUCAUCUACAUAGACACAUAUUUUUGCUACAGAGUUUGCCCUUUCCUUUAUAAACACACAAUUGUCUGCCUUUCCCUGUGAAAAACCAAUAUCCAGCAAUUCUUUUGCUAAAGUUUGGUGCCAGUUCCUUCCACUUUGGUGCAGACCAUAAAGGGAUUUAUUUAAUUUGCAUACCAAACCUUCAGCGGCGUCUAUGCCUUCAGGGACACGCAUAAAAAUUUGUUCUUUUAAAUCUGCAAACAAAUAUGCAGUUUUUAUAUCUAGGUGAUAAACAGAAUGUCCACGUUGUGAUGCAUCUUUUAACAAAAGCUUAACUGUUUCAUAUUUUACACUUGGUGAAUAACACAAAUCAUACUUUUCGCCUGGAAUUUGUUGAAAACCCCUAGCAACUAAUCUUGCCUUGUACCUUACAACUUCAUUUUUGUCAUUCAUUUUAACUCUAUAAACCCAUUUUGAAUCAAUAAGUCUCAUAUCUGGGGUUUGUGGUACAAGAGACCAAGUGUUAUGCUCUUUUAAAGAAGCUAUUUCAGAGUUCAUAGCUUUAUACCAAUUUACAGCUUGGUGCUUAGGUAAAUUCUGAACAUCAUUGUAGCUUUUGGCUCAAAAACUGCCUUAUUGGCAUACACAGUAUUAAAAUGUUCAUCUGCAAAACGUUGUGGCUUCUGUCUCUUUCUAUCUGAACGUCUCAGUCCGGAAGGAGAGUCAGACUCCUCAGACUUAAUGGGACUAUGUAAACUACUAGUUUCAGGUUGUAAAUCAUCAUUGUCAGACUGAAGAGAUGCCUGUUGGCUAAGCUCACGGUCAGAAAACUCAAGAGAAUCUAACCUCCCCUCGGGUGCCUGUGACUUUAAAUCAUCAAAGAAAUUAUCAGAUUCAACAGGCUUUUGUCUUCUUCCAUUAAUUCAGAAGCACCAUUUCCUGCUGCUGCUGCUUCUUCUACCUCUUCUUCCUCAGUAUUAUCUAUACCAUUACUAUCUUGGAAAACAGCAACACCAUUCCAAUUUACAGUUUGUAUCAUGCUUCUGGUAAUAUGAAAUUUGCCAGUUGCUGGUAUGUAAAUUCUGUACGCCCCCUGCUGGUAGCCCAUUAAUUUUCCCUGGACACUACGUUCACCCAAUUUCUGCUUAGCGGGAUAAUGCAUUAUUACAUCUGAACCCCAAAUGCGUAGGUAUUUCAGAUUAGGGCGUUUUUAAACAGCUUCUCAUAGGGGUGACAUCUAAACCAGAAUGAUAACUGCGAUUUCUAACAUAACAAAAGGCAUUGAGCGCUUCAGCCCAAAAGUCUUUGGGCAGAUUAGCAUCAUGCAGAUAAGUUUUAACCCCUGCCUGCAGGUCACGCUGCACAACUUCCAACAAGCCCAUUUUGCCAGGGACUUCGGGGCAAGAUAACUCAUGAGUAGUCCCCUGCGCUUCCAGGAAUUUCUCAAAAUCCUCAGAAACAAACUCACGCCCCUGUCAGAAAAAAGGUUCUUAAUAGGUUUGUUAAAAUGUGUUUUUACCCAGUUGCAAAAAACUUUGUACUUCUCAAAUGCUUGGGACUUCUCAGCUAUUGCAUAAGUCCAACAAUAUCUACUAUACUGGUCUAUCAGGGUAAGCCAGUACUUAGAACCUCCUAAGGAUGGUGGGAGUGGCCCAACUAAAUCACAAUGUACACGCUCAAAUGGCUCAGUUACUUUCCUAUCUGAGCACCUACCCUUGCGUGCAACCUUAAUCUUAUUCUUGCAACAGGAUAGACAUUGCAUAAAGAAUUUACAUGGUUUUAAGUUGAGGCCAUUAACAAUAUUCUUGGUCUUAAUUACAUCAGCAAAAUUCAGAUGUCCCAGAAUUCUGUGCGCCUCAUGGACACACCCAGAAUGUGGCCUUACAUUCCUCAACCCCUGGCUUGACUGUGCUGCUCUGCAAUUUAUAGGCGAUUGGGAGUAGGUGCGAAAAUACAGUCUAUAUAAACCAUCAGAUUCCCGGGCAUACAAUAGACGUUUGUUCCCCUCGAAAAACUCACACAUUGACUUUAAGAAGCGCACAGUUAUGCCUUGACGAGCAAAACACCUUACUGACAAUAAAUUGUCCACUGAUGGGCAGUAAAUGCAGUUCGCUAUAGUAAUGUUUAAAGAGUCAAGUUUAACAGUACCCCUGCCAAGCGACUGUAAGACUUGUGAAUUGGCUAAAUGUACAUUACCAAUUUCCUCUUCGAAAGAAAUAAACAAGCUUCGAUCGUUGCAAACGUGCUGAGAUGCUCCUGAGUCCACAAUAAAAUAAUUCCACUUGGCACCUUUAAUUCUUUUACGAUCUCUUGUGCUAGCGUGAAAAGCUCGCGGCUCGUUUCUGUCUUUACGGUACGAUGCCGGCUGCUGAGCUGACGACCGUGACUGACGAACAGAAACAGACUUGGGAGUACUUUGCUUUCUUUGGAUCUGCAGUCCUUUGCAAAAUGUCCUUGCUUAUUGCAGAACCAACAACGCUUUGCAGCUUUAAAUGCAGUUGUAUCACCACAAGUUUGCAUAUGGCGUUCCUCAUUACUUCUGGAAGUAGGAGUGCUUAUGGCACAAGCCUCCCUUCUGUCCAACUCACCCAUUAAUCUUGCCGUUACCCCUUCCACAGUUAAUUGCGCUGGUGGAACGGCAGAUAUCUGGCUAGCUAUACCAUCAAAGUCCUCGUUAAGGGAACAAAGAAUGAUAAAAACAUACUGAGUAUCAGGUAUCUCCAUGUCCCUUUGAAUUAAUUCGCAGCGUAUUGCCUCCAGACGUCUCAAGUGUGCUGCCAAAUCACCACCAGGCUGCAACUUCGUCUGGUACAGCUGCUUGAAAAACGUCAAUGCAGACGCUGACUCUUUUCUAAUAUGCACUGCUGCAAGACUGUCCCACAUUUCUUUGGCAGUUUUCUUAUUCCUUAUAUAGACUACUUGCUGGUCGCUGACUGCCAAAUUAAUUAUCGCCCUGGCUUUAGCGUCUCCUUUCGACCAAGCAUUAGUCACAGGGUUAGGAGGGUCAUCAGUUACAUAGGUCCAUACUUCUCUAGAGGUCAAAAGCGCCUCCACCCGAAAAGACCAUAAACUAUAGUUCUCAUCUGUCAGCUGUGGGAAGACCAGAGCCUUCUCAGCUUCAGGAACCCGGUCAACCAUUCUGGAACUCUUCCAGACCCACUGAACUACGCUAACAGGAGAAGGAGUUUUCAAACCUUUCUCAGAGUCCAAAAAUAUGCAGUCAUCCACUCAGCAGCUGGGCCCAUAACCAAAGAUGUUGGCUUUUUGCAGUAUGGUAGCGCUGCAGAGAGCUUGCGGGGAGACCAUGCAUUAAAAGGGACUCAAAAAUAAUUUAACAAGGUUUUAAUAAGAAAAACAAAAAACCCUUUUACACAAAAUACAUUAACAAACCAACAUGACCCAACCACCAACCCCAACCCCAGGGUAAAGGGAGAGCUAGGUGCUGCUCCUUAUAUACUACACCCAAUUACCAACACAGCUUAAUCAAUACAACUCAGCAGCACCUGCUAUGUUUCACAGCUGUAAAGCUGGGUCUCGUUAUUUUGCUCUGGCCCUUUCUCUGGCCCCUUAAAGACAUACACAUCGAGUGGAACAAUGAUGAACCUUUACAUAUUAAACCAUUCAACAGUUUCCAGAAAAUACAAUCGAUUGAAACGAACUUUGGCUGCUCGCAUUCCGACACAAUUUCCCACACUGUUUCUGCUUAUGGUGCUCCAACCAAGUUCUUAUUUCUCCCUGCCCUUCUUCGUUUCAGGCCCCCAGUGCGAAUGCUGCCUCGGAUUGAACGCUCUGCUGUGCAGGUUGGACCACGGACGCCAAGACAUCAUUUUUGCGAAAGAGAGCAGGCUGGGGGAGCAAAUCUGACCAGGAUUUCUGGGCAAACUUAGGAAGCUGGAUGGCAAUGGAUGGGGUGGGGCGAGUCAGAUUGGGGCCACCACAGCCCCCUUUCCCCACCGCCCCCAGGGUGGAAAACACCAUCUGGACUGAGCGGAACAGCUGGCACUCAAGACAAAGGCAGUCCAUUUUAGAACAGAUCAUGUGUUUUGUUUCUUGCCUGGACAUAAUUUUUGCUUCUUUUUUGAAUUUGCAUUUUAUUUAUUUGUUAACAUUCUUAUAUUACAUCGGUAAACGUUGUCAUAUUACGUUACAGGACUUACUAUAAUUUCCAACAUGUAUACAAAAAUUAUAUACAAAUUUUAUAUACCUAGAAAGAAAAUGAAACAAAGAAAAGGGAAGAACAAAGAGAAGAAACAAAAACAAAUUUUCUCCCCCAAAAUCAUAUACAUACCAACACACUAGACUUCCUG